GAAAAACCUGUUGACAGAGAGAAGGUAGCUACUAGCUAACCAACUGCAUUUGGAUAAUGUUAGCUCGGAACGCUAGCUACAGCUAGCUGGCUGGUUAGCUAGGUUUUGAGCAGUGGUUUAUAUACACUAGAAUACCGAUAGGGGCCGCUAAAUUGAAGCCACGGUGCCACCAUCUUGGUGCUCCCCCACAAUUGUAAAACAUAUUUUGGAACCUAUAGAAAUGGAUUUAUUCAUUGCGUACAUUCGUUUUUGCCACAUUUAUUAUAUUAGACACCCUAAUGCAUCAUUUAACAUGGUAAACAAAAACAUCUAAAUAUAUAAAAUGUUCCUUAAAGUAUACGUUUUAAUACUUACUGUCCCCACUAUAACAAAGAUACAUGUAAUUGUACUUAAAACAAUUGAAAUACUGUAGAAUUCCAUUAAUCCCUAUGGAGGACUGCUCCCACUGGGGAGUGACAAUAUGGCCUCUUGAUGGCCAAUACAUAGCAUCAGCAAUCCAUGGUUUAUAUACAUUAUUGGUUUUGAGGCACUCAUGCCAUGCUGUUCUGUUAGCUAGACCAGGUAUUCCCAAACUGGGGUAUGCGAAGCCAGUGAAUUCUAUGUGGUACAUCUGGAUGAGUCAACAGACGUGGUGGGCCUGACACAGCUCCUGGUAUAUGUCCGUUACAUUUAUGGGGGAUCAAUUAAGGAAGACAUCCUCCCCCACGGGUACGCCAAAUAAAAAUGUGAUUCACAUUUUUUUUAAAAUAAUUUUAUUACAUUUAAAAAAAAAAAUGUUUCUUCACAUUUUCAAACAGUCCAUUUAUAUUUUCCAAGGGGGCUAUACAUUUGGGUGAGGUUUUUUUGUCACCUGACUAGCCAUGUUUCACUGCCAAAAAUAAAAUUAAACCAUCUAGUGUUCAGUGAAAUAACAACACUGUCAAAUACAGGUAGCCUAGUCAAAUAAUGAACAUCCAAUCACCUGAACCGUUACUCUCUCGUGGGUGAAACCUUCAGUCUUGCGCAGACUUUUAGAAACGAAACAUGCCAAUUAAAAAAAAUAAGCCACGAGUCUUUUGAGCGAGAGUAAGACAUGUACAAAAGCCACAGAAACCCAUUAAAAGAAGGGGCUAGGUGGAAGAUUGGCCACCCGUGACUUUUUCAAACAGUGGGAGGCAUAAAGAAAUGCCUACGGCUUUGUACGCAGCGGCAGGCUUGCAUGUAUCGGAGUUCUGAUGAUUUUGUCGGAAUCAAUGUGUGUAAAAAAAAUUUGCCUACAGACGUGUCCACUUCUACUGAGAGUAUUCACCACCUAGUGGCAGGCAUCACUCAAACGGUGGUGGUAAUGCACGUAAUUUAUGAAAGUUGCCAGAUCUGGGGAGAGUUACCAAAAAAAUCUUUGCAGCAUUGAAGGUCCCCAAGAACAGUGGCCUCCAUCAUUCUUAAAUGGAGGAAGUUUGGAACCACCAAGACUCUCCCUAGAGGUGGCCGCCCAGCCAAACUGAGCAAUCGGGGGAGAAGGGCCUUGGUCAGGGAGGUGACCAAGAACCUGAUGGUAAUGCUGACAGAGCUCCAGAGUUCAUCUGUGGAGAUGGGAGAACCUUACAGAAGGACCAACAUCGCUACAGCUCUCCGCCAAUCAGGCCUUUAUGGUAGUGGCCAGACAGAAGACACUCCUCAGUAAAAGGCACAUGAUGGCCAGUUUGGACUUUUGGCACCUGAAGGACUCAGACUAUGAGAAACAAGAUUUUCUGGUCUGAUGAAAACAAGAUUGAACUCUUUGACCUGAAUGCCAAGUGUCACGUCUGGAGGAAACCUACCGCCAUCCCUACGGUGAAGCAUGGUGGUGGCAGCAUCAUGCUAUGGGGGUGUUUUCAGCAGCAGGGACUGGGAGACUAGUCAGGAUUGAGGGAAAGAUGAAUGGAGCAGAGAGAUCCUUGAUGAAGUCCUAAACACUCUGGGGCAGGUUCUCAGACUGGGGCGAAGGUUCACCUUCCAACAGGACAACGACCCUAAGCACACAGCCACGACAACGCACGAGUGGCUUCGGGACAAGCUUCUGAAUGUCUUUUAGUGGCCCAGCCAGAGCCCUGACUUCUCUGUUGAGACCUGAAAAUAGCUGUGCAGCGAUGCUCCAUAUCCAACCUGACAGAGCUUGAGAGGAUCUAUAGAGAAUAAUCAAAUUAACUCCCCAAAUACAGGUGUGCCAAGCUUGAAGCGUCAUAACUAAGAAGACUCGAGGCUGUAAUCGCUGCCAAAGAUGCUUCAACAUAGUACUGAGUAAAGGGUCUGAAUAUUUAUGUAAAGAAGGUAUUUCAGUGUUUUAUUUUAACCUGUUUUCACUUUGUCAUUGUGGGGUAUUGUGUGUUGAUGAGGAAAACAAAUAAUUUAAUACAUUUUAUAAUAAGGCUGUAAUGUAACAACAAAAAGUCAAGGCCUACUCAAAUGAUGGUCAGUAAAUGGGACCUCACUCAGUAGUGUCGAGUCAUUUGGGAGGUUUAAGAAGGUGGGGAAUGUCAUUUUAAUUCCGAUCAGGUAUGCGUCCGUGAAGGGAUUUUAUACAUGGCGCUGGUACCUACUCCCUGCACAUGCUACAGCCUCUUCAGCUCAGUCAGACACAAGAAGUACAUGGGGGCUUUGAUGCCCACCUCCGUGAUCCUCUUCAGCUCCUCCAUCAGAAACCCUGCAUGACCACCUGAGGCAACAGAGUCCCAAAAUACAUUUCUGUGGCACUGUUGAUCUUCUGAAUGGCCUGGUUGAGGCUGGACAGAGGAAUCUGUCUCACGUAGCUUGGAAUACUUUCUGACACCAUGGCCAGACACCGCCCUGGAGGGAAGACUUUCUGACACCAUGGCCUGACACAGCCCUGAGAGAAGACUGACACCGCCCUGGAGGGAAGACUUUCUGACACCAUGGCCAGACACCGCCCUGGAGGGAAGACUUUCUGACACCAUGGCCUGACACAGCCCUGAGAGAAGACUGACACCGCCCUGGAGGGAAGAUUUGGGCCCUGGAGGAAUGACAAAAAGAAAGCAGAGGUUUGACUAGUAUGCAGUGUUGCUGAACUACUGCUGUGGGGAGUUUCUUGCUCUGGGAAAUGAGCUGUGAGAUGAAAGACAAAACCCAUCAUCAGAACCAGUCAGCACAGAAGGUAAAAUAACAUCUCUCUAAAAGCCCACUUGGUAGUACAGACACUGAAGCCCUUGCACCCCUAUCUGUGCACAGGAAAGGCAGUUCCCACAUCUUCUACUCCACAAGUCUCCAGUGCAAUCAUCUUAAAGAGGUCCUGUGUGACAGAGCUUAGGUCCGGCAUCUCGGGACCGAAUGGCUCGGGGUAAUCCCCUCACCCGCAGGGUACCCAGGUUGGAUGCCUGGGUGGAACCGUCCGGCUCCAGCAUUGAGAGGGGGCUUUCCUGCCCCAUGCUCUACUCCCCACGGGCUCCACCACCACCCCUCUACAGUCAGGGAGAGAAGGGACAGCGAGGCAAAAUAGAUACUCCAACUUAACUAUUACUAUAAGUAAGCACUCAAGUGACUUUAUAGCAGUUUCAGCUUACAAAGGGCAAAGUUGCCCAGAAAGGACUCUAUGCUUGUCAUCUCUGGUGUAGAUUUUUUCCACUGUACAUCCAAUGAUCGAGAUCUCUGGCACAUUAUAUAACCAGGCUUGAUUGGCGCCUCUAUUGGAGGUUGGAAGUUCCAAGUGAUCUUGUUCUUCAUCUGCCUGUGUGUGUCUCACCCUGCAACAUGACAGUUACUCACUAUAUUUGAGUGCAAUUUGUAGUUAUGUCUAUGGUCCAUGCCUCCAUAAAUACAUAAAUAAACAGACAUGUUGACAGAC
Long non-coding RNA from Oncorhynchus kisutch (coho salmon), 3817 nucleotides. RefSeq lists it as uncharacterized. The record is from RefSeq and is a predicted model, not a curated record. NCBI's taxonomy places the organism in Eukaryota, Metazoa, Chordata, Actinopteri, Salmoniformes, Salmonidae. The transcript has 2 exons.